GUUUUAUUUCGGGGACAUCCGAUAAAAUUGGAAUGAUAGAGAGAAGAUUAGCAUGGCCCUUGCACAAGGAUGACACGCACAAAUCGAGAAAUAUUUCAUGAUUUA
This 105-nucleotide small nuclear RNA is filed under the name Nicotiana sylvestris (wood tobacco). The record is from RNAcentral. RNAcentral also lists the same sequence under 1 other name. Lineage: Eukaryota; Viridiplantae; Streptophyta; Magnoliopsida; Solanales; Solanaceae.